RNAcentral lists this ribosomal RNA (698 nucleotides) under Bacillus subtilis. Its description in RNAcentral is "bacterial SSU rRNA". It matches the Rfam family "Bacterial small subunit ribosomal RNA", at positions 49 to 729 of the family's 1533-position model. Lineage: Bacteria; Bacillati; Bacillota; Bacilli; Caryophanales; Bacillaceae. The record is from RNAcentral.
UAAUACAUGCAAGUCGAGCGGACAGAUGGGAGCUUGCUCCCUGAUGUUAGCGGCGGACGGGUGAGUAACACGUGGGUAACCUGCCUGUAAGACUGGGAUAACUCCGGGAAACCGGGGCUAAUACCGGAUGGUUGUUUGAACCGCAUGGUUCAAACAUAAAAGGUGGCUUCGGCUACCACUUACAGAUGGACCCGCGGCGCAUUAGCUAGUUGGUGAGGUAACGGCUCACCAAGGCAACGAUGCGUAGCCGACCUGAGAGGGUGAUCGGCCACACUGGGACUGAGACACGGCCCAGACUCCUACGGGAGGCAGCAGUAGGGAAUCUUCCGCAAUGGACGAAAGUCUGACGGAGCAACGCCGCGUGAGUGAUGAAGGUUUUCGGAUCGUAAAGCUCUGUUGUUAGGGAAGAACAAGUACCGUUCGAAUAGGGCGGUACCUUGACGGUACCUAACCAGAAAGCCACGGCUAACUACGUGCCAGCAGCCGCGGUAAUACGUAGGUGGCAAGCGUUGUCCGGAAUUAUUGGGCGUAAAGGGCUCGCAGGCGGUUUCUUAAGUCUGAUGUGAAAGCCCCCGGCUCAACCGGGGAGGGUCAUUGGAAACUGGGGAACUUGAGUGCAGAAGAGGAGAGUGGAAUUCCACGUGUAGCGGUGAAAUGCGUAGAGAUGUGGAGGAACACCAGUUGCGAAGGCGACUCUU